UUCUCGUACAUAGGGAGCACGCCGCUUGCAAGCGGAGAAUCACACACAGACACACACAUACACACACACACACAGGCACACACACACAGACACACAUAGCGAGAGCACUAAUGGUGGCAUCGGGUCGCAGCAAGCCGUUGAUGAUCUAUACACAUAUCUCUCCGUGUUUGAUUUUUUACUCAGAACAUACAAAAGGAUAGGAGUUAAACGUAAUAAAACGUAUCUGUAUGAACGGGGGACACGAACGCACACUAUGGUCCGGGAAACCAGACACCUAUGGGUGGGGAAUUUACCUGAAAAUGUGCGAGAGGAGAAAAUUAUCGAACAUUUCAAACGGUAUGGGAGGGUGGAGAGUGUCAAGGUCCUCCCCAAGCGGGGGUCAGAGGGCGGCGUGGCGGCUUUUGUGGAUUUUGUGGACAUUAAGAGCGCCCAAAAAGCACAUAACUCCAUCAACAAAAUGGGAGACAGGGAUCUGCGCACCGACUAUAAUGAACCUGGGACCAUCCCGAGUGCCGCACGUGGCCUGGACGAUAGCCUAUCCAUAGGCUCUCGCGGUCGGGAUGUUUCGGGGUUUGCGAGGGCGGCAGGGGGGCCAGUGUACGGUCCCCCGACAUCUCUCCACAGCAGAGAGGCACGCUAUGAGCGCAGACUGGAUGGGACCUCCGACAGUCGGGAUCGUGCCUAUGAUCACAGUGCCUAUGGACACCACGAACGAGGUGGCGGCGGAGGCGGUGGUUUCGAGCGACCGCGACACUACGAUACAGACUAUUACCGUGACCCGCGGGAGCGCGCGCUGGCCGGAGUUGCCUCCGGCUCUGGCUCAGGUGGUGGUGGGGGCGGGGUCUCCAGUGCGGUUGGCCCGGGGGCUGGAGGAACGGGGGCCGGCGGUGGCAAUGCUGGCGGAGGUGGGAGCGGCGCCGGCGGAGGAGUAAGCGGGUCUGCGUCCGUGCCGGUGGGUUAUUACGGCUCGCGCGGCCGCAGUCCUGGCCGCUUCGAGACGCCGGAGCCGCGCUACGAGGCUCGGCCUCGCGAACCCUUUACUCUGGCCAGUGUGGUUCACCGUGACCUGUAUCGUGAAGAAAGAGGGCGCCGUGGAGAUCGCGUGUACCAGCACAGCCGCAGCCGCUCGCCGCACUCCUCGCAGUCGCUGAACCCCUCCCCACAGCGGCUGGCCAGCCAGGCGGCGCGCCCCCCCCGCUCCCCCAGCGGGUCCGCCUCCGGCAGCCGGUCGUCCAGCUCGGACUCCGUCAGCAGCACCAGCAGCAGCAGCAGCGGCAGCAGCGAUUCCAGCAGCAGCUCCAGUGAUGAGUCUCCGGCACGAUCUGUGCAAUCGGCUGCAGUGCCUGCCCCCUCUGCGCCGCCCCCAUCAGCCCUCGAAAAGGAUGAGCCACGCAAAAGUUUUGGCAUAAAGGUCCAGAACCUUCCUGUGCGCUCCACAGACACCAGCCUGAAGGACGGCUUGUUCCAUGAGUUUAAGAAGUAUGGGAAGGUGACAUCAGUGCAGAUCCAUGGAGCUUCAGAGGAGCGCUAUGGACUAGUCUUCUUCCGACAGCAGGAGGACCAGGAGAAGGCUCUGUGUGCUUCUAAAGGAAAGCUUUUCUUUGGGAUGCAAAUCGACGUCACUGCCUGGAAUGGGCCAGAGACUGAGAGUGAGAAUGAGUUCCGACCACUGGAUGAGCGCAUUGAUGAAUUUCAUCCCAAAGCUACACGGACACUGUUUAUAGGCAACCUGGAGAAGACAACUAGCUACCAUGACCUCCUCAACAUUUUCCAGCGAUUUGGGGAGAUUGUGGACAUUGAUAUUAAAAAAGUGAACGGCGCCCCCCAGUAUGCCUUCUUGCAGUACUGUGACAUUGCGAGUGUCUGCAAGGCCAUCAAGAAGAUGGAUGGGGAGUACCUGGGCAACAACAGGCUCAAGCUGGGCUUCGGGAAGAGCAUGCCCACAACAUGCGUGUGGCUAGAUGGCCUGUCUUCUAAUAUCACAGAACAGUACCUCACACGCCACUUCUGUCGAUACGGACAUGUAGUCAAGGUUGUGUUUGACAGACUGAAAGGAAUGGCCUUGAUUCUGUAUAAUAAUAUUGAGUAUGCGCAGGCUGCUGUCAAGGAAACCAAGGGCUGGAAAAUCGGGGGAAACAAAAUUAAGGUGGAUUUUGCCAAUCAAGAGAGCCAGAUGGCUUUUUAUCGCUCAAUGCAGGCGUCUGGGCAGGAUAUCCGAGACUUCUAUGAAAUCUUAUCUGAACGAAGAGAUGAGCGUAGACCACCUUACCAUGAAUUUUCAGCUGAGCGGGCAUACUAUGAAAAUGUCCGUGCUCCAGGCACCUACACUGAAGAUCCACGCCGCAAAUACCCUGCCAGGAGUCGGGAGUUCUACACAGAAUGGGACCCAUACCAGGGGGACUAUUAUGACCCACGUUACUAUGAUGACCCUCGGGAAUACAGGGAUUACCGUGACCCCUAUGAGCAGGACAUUCGGAAAUACAGUUACCUACAACGGGAGAGAGAGCGUGAGAGGGAACGUUUUGAAACAGACCGUGAGCGUGACCAUAGCCGACGGACUAUUGAACGCAGCCAGAGCCCUUCACAUCCCCGCCGUGCUGCUAGCCCUGCUGCUUCUCCAUCCCCAUCUGAGCGUCUGCCCAGUGACUCUGAGCGCCGCAUCUAUAGCCGCUCCUCUGAGCGGAGCGGAAGCUGCAGCUCACUGUCACCUCCCCGCUACGAGAAACCUGAUAAAGCACAACCUGACUGGUACAGCAAGAAUGAGAAGCUGGAGAAAGAACGGCAGUUAUUUGAGUUAGAACGUGCCACUGGGGGUGAGAAGGAUAAACGGGCUGUGCGUAAGGAAAAAGCAGAGAAGGGGGAGAAGGGGGAGAAGCAGAAGUUAAGGAAGCUGAAGGUGCCGUCCCCCAGUCUCCCCUCAUCUGAGACGGACCCAGAACCAGAUCAGGAGACCAGUCCAGAGGCAGGUCCUCGAUGCAAAGGUGGUAAGGUAACUGUCAAAGAGAAGGACACUGCCGGAAAAGGGCGCCUUGAUCUUCCACCUUGCGUGGUGCAGCUCACACGGGUCAAGGAGAAGGAAGGAAAACUGCUGGAGCAGGCUGCAGGGGAAAAGCAACGCCUGAAGGGUGAGAAUGACACUGUGCGCUCUCCUCCUCCCCUUCCAUCUUCCAUUGACCAAAAAGGACUAACUUCACGCCAGGAUAUUCAGAAGGGAGAACUUCCCAAGCAGUGCAAAGUCUCUAAGGAAAAGGGUUUGGCAAGCCAGGUAGAAGUGGUAGACAGGGAAGUCAAGGUAAAACCUAAAAAGCACAUGAAAUCUGAACCAGGGUUUGAUGGCACUAACUCAACUAUAGAGGUAGACAGACUAGCUGCUCGAAAGAGACGUUUUGGAGAUUCUGCUGGAAAAAUAGAAAGAUUGAAAAGGGGGAUCCAGGAGGAAGAAGAGGGCCGAGUGGGACUGAAGAAAUCAUGUGACAGCAUUAUGGCAAAAGAACUGGAAGCUGAUAGGAAGAUCCUUCGAAAGGAUGCACAUAAGAGGGAGCACCGCAAAGGUAAAUCAGAACGGCUGGUUACUGUCUGUAGCCCAAAAGAAGAGCUGGACACAGAGGGAAUGCCUGUAGGCUUGGGGCUUAGCCUUGACCUGCAGGCACGACUGGGGGAACCAGCAGAGGAGAGCACUGAUCUGGUUGAUUUUCCAGGAAGAAAGACAGGGAUCAUCCUUAAGAAUCAAAGUCACAUCACCCAGAUGUUUCCUGACGAUGUGAGUUUGGAUCAAGAUGAUAUAGAGGAACAGGAGCAACCAAACUUCCUUGAUCUAGUCGACCAGUCUUUGGUGCAGGAAAAAGGUGCUGGGGAGGCUGAUGAACGUCUUUCUGUGGACAUUGAUCACUCUCAAAGCUGCCGCAAACAAAUGGAGCAGAACCGAAGGCUCCGGCAGCAGCUGCAGGAGCAUGACAAGUCGGAUAAGCCUGAAAAUGCACAUGGUGCAGACUCUGAGGAUUUUGAUCGGAGAAGCUUAGUGCAUGAGGUGGGAAAGCCACCUCAGGAUGUUACGGAUGACUCUCCACCUAACAAACGUAAAAAGAUGGAGAUUCUUGAUUUUGAUAUUAAUGUUAAAAGGGAAAGAAACUAUAGAAGUUCACGGCAAGUGAGUGAGGAUUCUGAAAAAAACACUUCCUCGAUGCCAGGGCUAAGGCACUUUCCCUACCAAGAGGAAGACAAUACUGCAGAAUCACCUCGACUGGUUUCUAUAAAAGAGGCCAAAGACUCACCUAAAUUAGAAGUCUACUCACACAUGGAUAUACUGAAGUAUAGCUUUGAUUCAACUAGUAAUCGGGGACGGUCUUCCCAUACUGAAUUGUCUAAAGUGAAAGUUGUGUCUCUGGGGUGUGAGGAGGAGCAGCGCUGGGAGAACAGGGUGAAACAGGACCCAUUACGACUUGACAUGAGUUUCCCAAGCAGCAUUGUGAAACGUGAAGGCAUCCGCAAGCGCCUUGUGCGUGAGCUGGAGCCAGGAGAAGUACAGUCAGACUCUGAUGAGGACAGUGAGAACAAGCACCACUCCCCUAAGCCAUCUACAUCUCUCUCUUUCCUUCUUAGGGAACGUGAAGACAGGUUGUCAGACCUCAAGCUGUCUGGCUCCCUAGAGAGGAACAAAUUUUAUUCCUUUGCACUGGACCAGACUAUAACACCAGACACUAAAGCAUUGCUGGAACGAGCAAAGUCAUUGUCCUCGUCCCGAGAGGAUAACUGGUCAUUCCUGGAUCGUGACUCUCGCUUCGCCAGCUUCCGAAGCACCAAAGAUAAGGAAAAGGUGGAGUCUGCCCCAAGGCCUAUUCCCUCCUGGUACAUGAAGAAAAAGAAAAUCCGUACUGACUCAGAGGGCAAGCUUGAUGACAAAAAAGAAGAACCUAAGCCAGAAGAACAUGAACGACAGGAGCUGUUUGCCUCUCGCUUUCUCCACAGCUCUAUUUUUGAGCAGGACUCAAGGCGCCUGCAACAUCUUGAACGCAAGGAUCAAGACACAGAACUGAACAUUAGUAGAUAUACUGGGAGGCAAAGUUCUACUGAGGUACAACCUGGAACAGGUGGAACUGACCUCCUGCAAGAGCCUAUGGUACUUUUCCAUAGCCGUUUUUUAGAGUUACAGCAACAGAAAGAAAGGGACCUGCGACCCAAAGAGAUAGAGAAAAUUAAUAGUGCUGAUGGGCAUGAGAGGGAAAAGCUGCAAGAAAGUGAACAGGAACAGUCACGGUCAUCGCCAAAAGUGCCUGAGCUGACUGUGGACCAAGACGUUAAACCCAUCAGUCCUAGUGCAGGAGUUGCAGUUUCACAUCCCAUUUCAGUACCUCGAGAUAUGACACCACCUCAGGAUAAACCCAUGGUACAGAGUCUUUCUGCUAAAGAAGAAAAAGGAGUGUAUGUUGCUGAUGUUUACUUGCCUCCUUCACUGCCUGUGGCAGAGAUAUCGCCACCUGUCCCCAGCAGCGUUGUAACCCCUGAGGCCAUUUCCUCUGAGGCAGAAGUUAAAAUGCAUUCUAAGGAAGAGUUGUGUGAAUCCAAGAAUACAGUAAAAAAUACAGUUACUGUAGAACAGUCCUCUUACCUGGAUGUUAAACCUCCUACUCCUGGUGCCUCGCUUUGCAGUUUAGAGCCAGAGCCCCACCCUACGGAGUUUCCAAUUCCUGCUUCCCCUAAAUCUGAGGAAAACACAGAUACUACUAAAGAAGAGGCCUUGUCAGAAAAAUGUGAUCAAACGGAGAAUAAUAUUCCCCAGAAAAUUGAAGAGUCCCAGGAGGUUCAAUUGCUGGUCUCUGAAACUGAGGUUGAGCCAGUGCUGCCACCUCGAAAACAACCCAAGAACAAACGAGCUAAACCAGUCCCAGCACAAGCACCUUCUCUGGUCCAAACAACUGGCGCUGAGAAACCAGCCAUACGCAAGAGUGAGCGAAUUGACAGAGAGAAGCUUAAACGGGCGUCUUCUCCUCGAGGAGAGGCUUUCAAACCAGCCACUGAUUCUAAAAACACUGCUAAGUCCCCGAUUCAUGCUCCAGACUCAGAUCAAAGUUAUGAGGUGAGCUUGCUACAUGGCAGGACUCGGCGCAGAAAUGUAAGGUCUGUUUAUGCAACCCCUGUAGAGGAUGAGACUCCUCAGCAGUCAAGUAAGGAAGUUACAGAAUCCCCUCGUCCUACUCGCAAGCGGUGUGCUGACAGAGAGCUAGUACAGCAGCAGCAGCCUUCUCAGGACACAUUAGCUGCCCCACCCCGGCGAGGACGCCCUCCCAAAACACGUCGGCGAGGAGAAGAUAUGUCACCAGUGAAGGGAGAGCCACCGAAAACAUCAGAGGGAGAAGAAACUGACAGCAAAGACCUUUGUAGCAGCGGCGAAGUUGCCAAAGUCGCUGAAGGGUGGCGUUCACCACGUACACAGAAAGUGCAGCUUAACCAAGGAUCCCCACCUGCUAGCUCUGUACAAAGUCGGAAGGGAGUCAAAGCAGACAAAACAUCUGAGAAUACAGGUCCGCAGGCGGAGCGCUCAGGGGGUGAUGCUGCUGGUAUUUUAGAUUCCACAGCUAAGUCAAAGGAGGAAUUGCUUGAGCAGUGUGGGAAACUCAUAGGAAAUGAGAUACAAGAUAUGACAAUGCAAAAAGGAGAGAAAGACAGUGAUAUUCCAGAUCUAACUGAAAGGAAACUAGAUGAAGAAAAAGCUGGUGAUAAGCUGGAAACGCCAGUCACUGAAAAGCGGCCACCAACUGAGAAGAGUGGAAAAACAAAAGCGCCGAGACUGACACGCAACACUAAGAUGGCAAUAGAGGAUAAUUCCCUGAGCUUGAAGAACCUUGAGAUCCGUUUGAGUGUAGAUGAUGUGAAGGGUGUGUUGCGUUCUGGUGAGGAGGAGUCUGAAUCUUUUGACACCUCUCUAAAAAAGACCAAGUCAGGUGCAUCUGCGAAAGAAGAUUCACUGACACCUCCUUUCAUCAAGGCGUCAGAGCUCAGUUCUGAGAAUAAGGAAGAGGUGUUGUCAGACCCCGAGCCUCCUGCUGAUCCGGCAGCUGCAUUGCUAGCCCGUCAGAUGGAACUGGAGAGGGCAGUAGAGAAUAUUGCUAAACUCAGUGUGGAGCCACCCCUUCCAGUUUAUAAGGAACCUCAAACAGAACCACCAACCUUGAUAUCACCGGUAACAGUGGAGCCAGAAAAUGAGGUUGAGGAAGAGAAGCCUGCAAAUCCUUCUAGUGAGACUGAACUUGAAGCUGCCAUUUAUUCCAUUACUGCUGAAGCAGAUGGAUUCACAGCCCCACCUACUUAUGCAACUCUUGUCCCUACCCCAGAGCCACUGGUAAUCCCCAGUACCAGUGAGUGCAUGGAACCAGAGACAGACGUGGCUAUCAUUAUGGACACAGACACAGGAUUGAUUCCAGAUUCUAAAGUUUCAGAAUCCGCUGCCGGUGAGGCCUCUACCCAGGAUGAGUCUCCUCAACCAAGCACUCCCAGGAAAGGUGGUAAAGUUAGAGCCAAACCGCAAAAGAAGUCUAAAAGCCGUAGAACCCAUACCAACAGGAAGGGGGAUGUGACAGAGGAGGCAGUUUUAGAACCAGAACAUACCCCAGUAAAAAUGCCAGAGUCCAUCCCUGAAGACCCACAGACUCUGAAACCCAAAGUUGGAUCAGCCUCUACAGCAGCUAUUGUCACUACAGCGGCCUCCUGUAAACAGGAAGUUGUACGUGUAACUGUUGAAGCUGUGGAUACUCCUAAGGAAGCAGAACAGCCUGCAGUUGAGCAACCAGAACCCCAAGAAUCUGCCUUUCAUUCAACCAGCAAGCUGCAGCAGCAACCUUCAGGUACAGCAUCACUCACACCUUCUCCAACUAGUCUGAAGUUCUCCCCGACACGUACUUGCAAGCUGCCUGUCCCCCCCCAAGACUGGCAGAAUCAUUCUGAGGAUGGCAGUGUCCUUGCUCCAUCUGCACCUCAAAUCCCUGUUACGGGUCCCUCUACUCCUACAGCCACAGCAGGAGUACCACCUUCUGGAAACUCCACCUUACCACUUGAUACAAAAGCGUCGGACAUUGACCCUAGUUCUAGCACUUUGCGCAAAAUCCUUAUGGAACCUAAGUAUGUAUCAACCUCAAAUAACUCAGCUCCAAGCACACUUCUUACAACCUCCAUGAGGGAUCCACGGAUGUCAGAGAAUGACAAUUCUUGUGAGCUGAUAACUGUCAAGCCCUGCAUACCUGAUGAAAGGCCUUCGACUGUCACCCCCCAUCCUGUACACCAGCAGUCGUCCCUACCACCACCACCUGAGGUCCAGCAAGCUUAUAGUGAGAAAAUGGUCAAUUCUGUAAUAUCCUCAACAGGUACCUCAGUUAUAAGCCGCAUUCCAAUCCCCUUUGAUUCGGACGAGGCACCACGCAUUUCCUUGAGCAGUCGUAACUCGGGGAUGUCACUGCCGAAGCAAAAGUAUCGAUCUGGCAUCAGUGAAAACAGGUAUCAUGGGCUAGCUAUAGGCGAAGAAGGAAGUAGUGGAGGACGAGCUAUGGUAGAGAGUGCAGCCUACAGCACAGGUGCCAGCCCUGGGCUGAGGGUGAACACCUCUGAGGGUGUAGUGGUACUGAGUUACUCCGGACAGAAGACUGAGGGGCCUCAGCGUAUAAGUGCAAAGAUCAGCCAGAUUCCACCAGCCAGUGCAGUUGACAUUGAGUUCCAACAAUCUGUAUCUAAACCCCAGAUUAAGCAGGAGCCACUCACUCCUUCCCAGCCCCCCACCCCAAAGGCUUCACAAACUGCAUAUAGCCACGGUGGGGGGGUUUUAGCUGGUCAGUCUUACAACACUCAGCCUGUCAUCUCUACCAUUAAACAGGAGAUUCCUGGGUCAGACAAGUCAGAAUUAACAUAUCAUUCUGGGCCUCAGGCUGGCACUGUGAAAAUGCACUCGCAGUCUGUUAGCAGCUCGCAGGUUUUGAUCUACAAUCAGGCUAUGCUGCAGCAACAGCAGAAUAUUAAAAAAGGGAUGGUAACUGAUCCAAUACCCCUCAAGGUUGACUCAGGUAAACCUCAGUCCUCUAACCUGAGCCCUGUGAUGAGUCCCCACCACCCCUCUCUGUCUGGGAACCACAUGGGUUCAAGUCCUGGGACACCUACCGACAGAACUGUGCCGCACUUGAAACAAGAGCCUCACUCACCCCGAACUUCGGGCCAUUCACCAUCUCCGUUUUCCAAAGUCUGCCCUCCGAGUAGCUCUGUGUCCCCCAUUGGCACUUCUGUGGUCCUUGGCCCGGGCAUGUCAGCUAUGUCCCAGUUUGUACAUCACCAGGAGCAGUCGGUCAUUAUGCCUCCUCACAGUGUCACUCAGUCUGUUUCUCUGAGCCACCUCUCUCAGGGUGAUGUGAGGUUGAACACUCCUCCUCUGUCUGGGAUAGGCUAUGGGAUGCGUUCGGAGACUCUAGCCUCUCCACGUUCGGGGACCCAGCAGCGCUCAAGCACGCCCCAGCCUGCAGGCAUCAGAGACAUGGUGCUGCAGUCCCACACAGGCUGCACUGGGGGCAGCAGUGGGGCAUCGGAGGAUGAUGUCAGACACUUUCAUCAGGGACUGCGUAGGCCAUCUGCACCUCAGGUGCAGUCAGAUGUUAUGGUGAUGCCAAGUGACUACUGUGGACUGCACCAUGGAGCUAGCUUGUAUGGCCUACCAUCCAGAGAUGUAAGGAUACUAAUGCACCACCAGCUUGGAGAGCAUGCAUCCACAGAGGCACGCCAAGCCCGUACCCCAGAAACUGGCUGCUCAUCUUCCACUAGCAACAUUUCUUCAUCCUCCUCUUCCAAAACCCCACCUGUCGGAAAAGGUGCGACACAGGCAGGAAAGGACUCCUCCAAAACCGCAGAUGUGAAAGUGCCGCAGUCUCCACACGCUGAAGGCCGGAUCUUGGGGGCACAUCCCACUGCGCCUGUCAUGGUGUCCAACCCGGGGGUGCAGCUUCUGCAUGGAGGGGCUGCCAACACAUUCCCAGAAUACUCUGCAGUGUACCGAGACAUGCGGGGGUUUCACUCUCAGUAUGCUGCUCCCUCUGCCAUGGGAAUCAACCUUCCUCCCCGCAGCAUCACCCCCUCACAGGAUGGCGAGCACAGUCACAGGAGCAAAACUGCUCAGGUGUCCUCAGGAGCAGUUGGAGACCUCAAAGCAGAGGCGUCACAUCAUCGUCACGCAGGGACUAUCGACCUCUCCCGAGCACAGGGUGACGCCGGCUCACCGUCGUACGUCUCUCCCGUUCCAGUCUCUCACAAACUGGAUUCAGCGCAAACAUCCGUGACGAAGGGCUCCGUGUCCUUCCUACCGUCUCACCUGCCGUCGUCUGGCUCUGGCCAGAUGCGGGAUGAGAGCAAGCUGGAGCAGACAGCAAGCCGCACUGUGGACAUGGUGCAGCUGCUUAAGAAGUACCCUAUUGUGUGGCAGGGACACUUGGCCCUAAAGAACGAUACAGCUGCUGUCCAGCUGCACUUUGUCUCAGGCAACAACGUGCUGGCACACCGCUCUCUGCCCCCGCCGGAGGGGGGGCCUCUGCUGCGUAUCGUGCAGAGGAUGAGACUGGAGGCCUCUCAGCUGGAGGGAGUCGCUCGGCGGAUGAUGGUGGAGAGUGAUUACUGCCUCCUGUUGGCUCUUCCGUGUGGACGUGACCAGGAGGAUGUCUUGAACCAGACGCAUGCCCUCAAAGGCGGCUUCAUUACCUACCUGCAGGCCAAGCAGGCUGCUGGCAUCAUCAACGUCCCAAAUCCAGGCUCUAACCAGCCGGCCUACGUGCUGCAGAUCUUCCCGCCUUGUGAGUUUUCAGAGAGUCACCUGUCUCGUUUGGCUCCAGACCUGCUCAGCAGCAUCUCCAGCAUCUCGCCCCAUCUGAUGAUUGUUAUUGCCUCUGUGUAGCAGCACCUGUUCUCCAGAGGCCCUUCAUUUCCCAAGUAGCUGGAAAGUUCUCCAGAGGCCCUUCAUUUCCCAAGUAGCUGGAAAGUUCUCCAGAGGCCCUUCAUUUCCCAAGUAGCUGGAAAGUUCUCCAGAGGCCCUUCAUUUCCCAAGUAGCUGGAAAGUUCUCCAGGGGUCCUUCAUUUCCCAACGAGCUGGAAAGUUCUCCAGAGACCCUUAAUUUCCCAAGUAGCUGGAAAGUACAAGCUGGGUGUUGGAUGGGCGUUAUUUGAUUUUUUGUUUACACUGUCAGCCAACCUGCCCUGCACCCUUCCAAUGCUGCUCCGCAUCUCCACCUUUCCUGGGAGGCCAAGCCAGGCUAUAGCGAAGUGAUCAAUUUUAUGAUCAUCUCUGCCCUACGUCUGUGAGGGCCUGGCACUGAAGGGGUUCCAAAGACAUAUCAAAGGGGAAAACAACUUGGAGUCUGAGAACAGCUAAAAAGGUGGAUUUUAUUUUCGUUGAAGAGAUCGUGAUUUUUUUUUUUUCCUACAAAUGGACCGGAUCAACCAUUGCACUAUGAUGGAGGGAAAAAAGACGGAAACAGGGACUUGAAGAUUUAUGAAUUGAUGCAGAUGGCAGUGAGGUGGAGGCUAUAGAGACCUGCCAUGUUUGUAUGCCGUAUGGUGAUACUGGGAAAGAUUAUGUCAUGGGAGAAAAUUGUGGCCAAUCAUGCCCAGCCAGCCAGUCAUCUUCACUUUUACUACUGGUUUCCCAUGUAUUAACCUACUACUGCUUUUGGAGAGAUGGCACUCUUAUUCCUCAUAGUUCCUACCCCCAGGGACACGGGGGGUUCUGGAGUUGUACAGUUUACACAUUAUAGCUCAACAGGGGGAAGUUGAGACAAAUACUUUUUUCUUAAAGGUUAAUGAUGUAAGGGGAGUGUGAGAGCCUUGUAAAUAUUAUAAAUAUUUAAAGACUUAACAAUGCUGGGAGAUGAACUUGCAUAACUAAGAGAAGUGGCAGUAAGAAGAAUGGUCACUCCCGGUGAUGGUUUUCACAGACAUAUUGUUUUAAACAUGAAUCUGUGCCAAAAUGACUUUUAAGAUGAUGCAGUCAAAAAAAGGAAUUAAAAUCAAAUCUUAUUUUCAUACUUGACUUUGUAUUUGUCACUUACUCAUAAUUGCUUCUAGCUUGACUGUCUUGUUUUAACGGUUUACUUAAUUUUAUCCCUCUUUGCUACUCUGUCUUGUCUAUUUUGAAAAAAAAAAAAGUGCUAUAAGCCAUUCUGUAAGUUGAUCGUUUACAGUAACUCUUGACAUCUGGUGAAUGUUUCCUGAACCACAAUUUCCCUUGAAUGUCUGCCCCUGUAAAACAUACGUGUUAAGCAAAAGUAGGAAGCGAAAGGGGUGACUGUACGAUAACAAUGCCAUACUUGAGUUUGAAACAUUCUUAUAGACUUUCAAGGAAAAGAAAUUGGGAAGGGAAAAAGCAAUGGGACUCAAGCAGAGCCAAUAGUGGAUGUGUGAGCUCUAUGUCUCUCAACCGUGGUGUAAAUAGUCAUUUAUCCCUUCUGUGUCUUUUUUAAUGUUUUAUUUUUCAGGGUCAAUUUGUUUUGUCAGACAAAACAAAGCAGUCUGAAAAAGACAGAACUAAGUGUAAACCGAUGUCGAAAGUAAACCAUGUUUCUCAGUUUUGUGGUGUAAAUAUUUGUAUGACUGCAGGCUGACACCUCUAUUGUUGAAGGCACUUAUAAUUUUGAUACAUAAAUAAAAAAAAAAUCAAACAAACAACAGAAAAACAAACAGAACAAUCUUAAACAUUGUCCCUGUACCCAAUUUCAUUUUGAGUGUAAUAUAUUGUUCCUCUAUGAGGUUAUUUUAAGAUGUUUUGUAAAAUAAAACGUUGGUUUAUACAAUCCACCGAUCAUUAAAUGAUCAGUGACUACAUUUUAAUUUUGAAGUGUUUGCGACAUUUGUCAGAACUCUUAAGCAAAAGCAUUAAACUAGAAUGUUUACACUUUUGAA
This is a non-coding RNA of Paramormyrops kingsleyae, 12909 nucleotides long. Lineage: Eukaryota; Metazoa; Chordata; Actinopteri; Osteoglossiformes; Mormyridae. The record is from RefSeq and is a predicted model, not a curated record.